GCCGGAGUGCCAGAGCGGUCAAAUGGACCUGAUUUGUAAUCAGGCGCGAAAGCUACGCAGGUUCGAAUCCUGUCUCCGGCCCA
RNAcentral lists this transfer RNA (83 nucleotides) under Caulobacteraceae bacterium. RNAcentral describes it as "tRNA-Thr". It matches the Rfam family "tRNA". From Rfam's summary of the family: Transfer RNA (tRNA) molecules are approximately 80 nucleotides in length. Lineage: Bacteria; Pseudomonadati; Pseudomonadota; Alphaproteobacteria; Caulobacterales; Caulobacteraceae. The record is from RNAcentral.